This is a non-coding RNA of Cyprinus carpio (common carp), 582 nucleotides long. The record is from the annotation of a RefSeq genome assembly. NCBI's taxonomy places the organism in Eukaryota, Metazoa, Chordata, Actinopteri, Cypriniformes, Cyprinidae.
UCAAAACCUCUUUUGAGUGCAGAAGAAACAAAUUAGAGAGUGAAUUAAAUGUGAAUUUAAGGUUGUUUCUUCUGUUGCUUGGUUAAAUGUUAUAAUCAUGAUCAGAACAAUCUUUUUAACUAUAAUCACUAUUUACUGGUUACCAGUUUGUGUGGUUUGUUCUCCUGUCAUUCAGCAGUCUCCCAAACAUCUUCUACAGACAGAGGAGGAGAAAGAGGCAAAGCUUUUUUGUCAUCAUGGUGACAGCAACUAUCAGAACAUGUACUGGUAUCAACAGAAAAGCAAUGGUGGUUCUUUGGAGCUUAUUGGAAUGCUCAAUUACGGCACAGCUUCUCACGAGGAUAAAUUCAAACCUCGAUUUGCUCUCUCAGGACAUGCUACAAAAAAUGCAUCCCUGAUCAUAUCCAACAUAUCUCCUGAGGACAGCGCAGUGUAUUUCUGUGCAACAAGUAAGCACAGCCGUACAAUUCAUUAUAACCACUGACAAAAAACUGUUCACUUUGCACCUGUUUGAUUAAAAAAAAAAGUUUUCCACAAGGUUACUUGAAUAUUUAUGCCAAAACUGGUAAUAACUGUUAUUAC